This 465-nucleotide ribosomal RNA is filed under the name Triticum aestivum (bread wheat). Its description in RNAcentral is "rRNA SSU_rRNA_eukarya". It matches the Rfam family "Bacterial small subunit ribosomal RNA", at positions 580 to 818 of the family's 1533-position model. RNAcentral also lists the same sequence under 1 other name. The record is from RNAcentral. Lineage: Eukaryota; Viridiplantae; Streptophyta; Magnoliopsida; Poales; Poaceae.
AGGUCUUUCAUUGAAAAAUUCUUAUUCAAGUAUCCUUUUAUGCUAUCCUGAAAUUCUAUAUCAUUUCCGAUCAACAAUAUGUCAUCCACAUAUAAUAUCAGAAAUGCUACAGAGCUCCCACUCACGUUCUUGUAAAUACAGGCUUCUCCAAAGAAUUGUAUAAAACCACAUGCUUUGAUCACACUAUCAAAGCGUAUAUUCCAUCUCCGAGAGGCUUGCACCAGUCCAUAAAUGGAUCGCUGGAGCUUGCACACUUUGUUAGCACCUUUUGGAUCGAAAAAGCCUUCUAGAGUACGGUAGGGGCAGAGGGAAUUUCCGGUGGAGCGGUGAAAUGCAUUGAGAUCGGAAAGAACACCAACGGCAAAAGCACUCUGCUGGGCCGACACUGACACUGAGAGACGAAAGCUAGGGGAACAAAUGGGAUUAGAGACCCCAGUAGUCCUAGCCGUAAACGGACGGAGACGU